UACGUAGGGUGCAAGCGUUGUCCGGAAUUAUUGGGCGUAAAGAGCUCGUAGGCGGUUUGUUGCGUCGGCUGUGAAAGUCCGGGGCUCAACUCCGGAUCUGCGGUGGGUACGGGCAGACUAGAGUGAUGUAGGGGAGACUGGAAUUCCUGGUGUAGCGGUGAAAUGCGCAGAUAUCAGGAGGAACACCGAUGGCGAAGGCAGGUCUCUGGGCAUUAACUGACGCUGAGGAGCGAAAGCAUGGGGAGCGAACAGG
Molecule: ribosomal RNA, 253 nt
Filed under: uncultured bacterium
Lineage: Bacteria
Description: partial 16S ribosomal RNA
Rfam family: Bacterial small subunit ribosomal RNA
Source: RNAcentral